CGGGACAAGGUGAGUGGGGUGGUUGGCAUGGGUUGCCAAGUCCGGGGACUUGAUGCUGUGUCGACAGCUUCCUGUUGUCCUCCUCACACAUGCCCACCCUUUACCCCACUCC
Molecule: microRNA precursor, 112 nt
Organism: Cricetulus griseus (Chinese hamster)
Lineage: Eukaryota; Metazoa; Chordata; Mammalia; Rodentia; Cricetidae
Source: Ensembl